RNAcentral lists this small nuclear RNA (22 nucleotides) under Arabidopsis thaliana (thale cress). RNAcentral's name for it is "snRNA_03559". Lineage: Eukaryota; Viridiplantae; Streptophyta; Magnoliopsida; Brassicales; Brassicaceae. The record is from RNAcentral.
GCAGAGUGCAGCGAACAUUGCU